RNAcentral lists this ribosomal RNA (319 nucleotides) under uncultured Bacteroidota bacterium. RNAcentral's name for it is "bacterial SSU rRNA". It matches the Rfam family "Bacterial small subunit ribosomal RNA", at positions 28 to 351 of the family's 1533-position model. The record is from RNAcentral. Lineage: Bacteria; Pseudomonadati; Bacteroidota.
GAUGAACGCUAGCUGGAGGCUUAAUACAUGCAAGUCGAGCGGGAUUGGUAGCAAUACCAUGAGAGCGGCGCACGGGUGAGUAACGCGUACACGACCUACCUCUGACAGGGGGAUAGCCCUGGGAAACUGGGAUUAAUACCGCAUAUUAUUCUGAUUAAUAAAGGAUUGGAAUGAAAGUUCAGGCGGUCAGAGAUGGGUGUGCGUCUGAUUAGCUAGUUGGUAGGGUAACGGCCUACCAAGGCGAUGAUCAGUAGGGGGCGUGAGAGCGUGAUCCCCCACACGGGUACUGAGACACGGACCCGACUCCUACGGGAGGCUG